GUGUGGACGUCAAAGAUUCAAUUCUCUUUCCCGAUGCAUCGUCAUUUUAAUUUUAUCACAACCUACACCAUAUCCGUCCUUAAAACACAAACCUGCUUUCACUUUACUUUUUUGAACCAACCAUAAUCGUCUCAACCAGAUCCGAUGACCGGAACCAAGCCACCUUCGCUCCAUCAAAUCUGCUAAUUUUCUAUCGAAAUGGCCUUUGUACCCGGCGGUAACGGUAAAACCGUCGCUGAACCAACAGUUAUCUAAGCACAGACCAAUCGACGCCUCUGGAUCGUCUUUUCUCACCAUUGCCACACAGUCGAUGUCUCUUCUAUGCCGCUUAGCGGCUGAACCCUACCCAUCUUCUAUGUUCGGUGGUGGCGGUUAUAUGGUGAUGGUUUUCCACCAGCAACCCGGUGAAAUCAAAAGUAAAAAAUAACAAAUACCAUGCGGGCACUGAUAGAAAGCCCGUGGCCCAAUCGGAGGACAGCCCCUGCGUAAACCAACCUCAUAUUGCCACACGGUGGCGCAAGUUAGCAAUGGACACUGUAUAUAAGACCCUACGCAAAUUGUUAAUAUACUAGUUAAAACACCUGCGCGUUGCGCAGAUAUAUUAUCGGUAUGGGUUCGAUUCAUUACGGUAUCAACAUCCGGUAUAUAGUGGCGAAUUAAAGAAUUAUUUGCUCAGGGUGCGGAUGAGGGGUUUAAACAAUAUUUUUACGGGGUGCGGUGGGGUUUUUUACCUAAAAUUUACAAAUUUUUUUCAAGGGGUGCGCCCCUAUCAGUAAUAAAACUCAAUAAAUAAAGUAAUAUUACGUGUUUUAUAUUGAUCGAAAACCGUAAAAAUGAAUACCAAUAAUGAUUCCAAUAAUAAUGAUACCUGUACUGUGGUUGUCCGGUUAAAAGCGACGUAAAACCAAUAUUGUUAGGAUAGUUGACGUUCGCGCCCGUCAUAAAGGAAAUUUUGUAAAUUUUAAAUGAAGAGUUAAAUGCUUGGUUGGUCCUUGUGGUUUGCAAAAAUUUCAUACUUGGUCCUAGUGGUUUACUAAUUACUACGCGUGGUCCCAAAAGUUGUCAAAAAUGAACUCGGUUGGUCCCCUGACGUAACCUCUGUUAAAUUUCUCAGUUAACUAGGUGUAAAAUGACUAUAUUAC
Molecule: long non-coding RNA, 1142 nt
Filed under: Helianthus annuus (common sunflower)
Lineage: Eukaryota; Viridiplantae; Streptophyta; Magnoliopsida; Asterales; Asteraceae
Description: hypothetical non coding rna
Source: RNAcentral